UCUACGGGUGGCAGCAGUGGGGGAUAUUGCACAAUGGGGGGAACCCUGAUGCAGCGACGCCGCGUGAGUGAAGAAGUAUCUCGGUAUGUAAAGCUCUAUCAGCAGGGAAGAAGCAAGACGGUACCUGACUAAGAAGCCCCGGCUAACUACGUGCCAGCAGCCGCGGUAAUACGUAGGGGGCGAGCGUUAUCCGGAUUUACUGGGUGUAAAGGGAGCGUAGACGGCAUGGCAAGUCUGGAGUGAAAGCCCGUGGCCCAACCCCGGGACUGCUCUGGAAACUGCCAUGCUAGAGUGCUGGAGAGGUAAGUGGAAUUCCUAGUGUAGCGGUGAAAUGCGUAGAUAUUAGGAGGAACACCAGUGGCGAAGGCGGCUUACUGGACAGUGACUGACGUUGAGGCUCGAAAGCGUGGGGAGCAAACAGGAUUAGAUACCCGGGUAGUC
RNAcentral lists this ribosomal RNA (441 nucleotides) under uncultured bacterium. RNAcentral describes it as "partial 16S ribosomal RNA". It matches the Rfam family "Bacterial small subunit ribosomal RNA", at positions 338 to 795 of the family's 1533-position model. The record is from RNAcentral.